This 293-nucleotide ribosomal RNA is filed under the name uncultured bacterium. RNAcentral's name for it is "partial 16S ribosomal RNA". It matches the Rfam family "Bacterial small subunit ribosomal RNA", at positions 775 to 1067 of the family's 1533-position model. The record is from RNAcentral.
GGAUUAGAUACCCUGGUAGUCCACGCCGUAAACGAUGUCUACUUGGAGGUUGUUCCCUUGAGGAGUGGCUUUCGGAGCUAACGCGUUAAGUAGACCGCCUGGGGAGUACGGUCGCAAGAUUAAAACUCAAAUGAAUUGACGGGGGCCCGCACAAGCGGUGGAGCAUGUGGUUUAAUUCGAAGCAACGCGAAGAACCUUACCUGGUCUUGACAUCCAGAGAAUUCGGCAGAGAUGCCUUAGUGCCUUCGGGAACUCUGAGACAGGUGCUGCAUGGCUGUCGUCAGCUCGUGUUG